Molecule: long non-coding RNA, 1786 nt
Organism: Gadus macrocephalus (Pacific cod)
Lineage: Eukaryota; Metazoa; Chordata; Actinopteri; Gadiformes; Gadidae
Exons: 2
Source: RefSeq, a predicted model, not a curated record
UAACACAAACAUGAUAAUAUAGUCAGGUCAAGGCCGGAGCCGAAGGCCCCAUUUCUCAGCCAGGCAAAUGGUAGACACUCAGACAAUGCACCAGUCAUCCUCAAGAACGGGAGAACCACAACAGGAGAGGCACUGGAUCCCACAUACACCUCAAAGUGCUGGAGGGCGAGGAGCAUAGCCAGGGUUUCCUUCUCGAUGGUAGAGCAGUUAAGCUGAUGGUUUUUGAACUUAACUGAGAAGUAACACACUGGAUGCUGCACAACGCCCUCACCCUCCUGUAGCAACACCGCACCAGCGCCAAAACGAAUUUACAACCUACCGUCCAAAGGCACGAGCCCCCAUGUCAGUGUGCCUUUGAGGCUGCCAAGUCCCUUCUGUGCAGCGCCCCGGUUCUGGCAGCUCCUGACUUUUCGCGUCCCUUUCAGCUGGAGGUUGACGCAAGCGCUGUUUCAGUUUCUGCAGGCGCAGUACCACAGUUUGAAGUUGGAGUGUGAGAGAGGUCCCGGGUUCAUAUCCCAGACGAGCCCCCAUGUCACAUACAAAUGUAUUUAACCAAACUAUAAAUGCACACAGCAUACACUGACUAGGGCUGGCGUGACCUCAGCCCGUACAGCAGGUGCCAAAGCACAGGUCCCGGUAGUAGGAAGGAUCCAAAGCAAACACGUUUUCUAAAGUGAAUAAUAAUAUUUAUUGACUGGAAAGGGAUAAGGGAAAGGGAGAACAAAACAGGAACAACAGUAAGACAAACAAGCACUAAACAAUAACCCACUCAGCUUGAUAAUACAAACUAGUACCACACAAGCAAAUGACUAUCGCCAGGGAAAUCUAAUUUGCCGGGCAAGACCAGCAAGACAACAUAAUGAAGGCUAAAGAGCCUACAAACAAUGGCAUGAAAGCCUACAAAUGCGACCAGUAGUGUCCACAUCAAUGGCGUAGUGCCCAAACACGAUACAACCAGUAUCAACCGUGGAGUACUUUGUCAAAUGUAAUUAUAAUUUGUAACCUCAAACUCUUUUUAUUAAGUUGAUGGAAAAUAGUUUUAUCAGUGCAAUUUAAAGGUACAUGUUUUCUGUGCAUCCUUGUGUAUUUUUAUUUUAUAGGCUGUUCCUUAAUACAGUAGUUAUUCUAGCUAUAUGACAAGGCAGUUUUGUUCUUUCGACAGGUAAAUCUCAUGUUCCAUGCUUUGUUAAGCAAGCCUUUUCCUGUUGGAUUAUGUUUCCCAUCUUCUCUCAGAGCUCUGAAUAUCUAUAUGACUGCAAAACCUGUUAUUACUGAUGUACAAGAAGGAAGCGGCCAAGAAGGCACCCAAGCCCGUGUUGUGUGCCCUAUCUUUGCAGCCAAUUCCAAAAGAUCAUGACUGAAAAAUAAAUCUGGAUUUAGCAAAACAAAAUGAACACUUUGACUGCAGGCAAACACAACGCAGAUUCAGCCGGUCACACUUGGAUCUAUAAAUGCCCGUAAAACAAAGAAAGCCUUGUGUCCGUUGUGGCAUCUCGCCACGGAAGCCUCGGCCUGGACAGGCCCGGGGUACCGUAAAGGACUGGGUAUACCACCCCCACCCACCAGCCGGCGAUGGAGAGCAGCCCAUUCGGCUCCCCAAUCAGGGUGAUUGGGGGACACCUGGCCGAAAGCGGAGGAGCCAUCUUAAGAGGAGGACCAGCACAGCACGGGUCGGGAGCAGGAAGGAAGGGCUCGUGGCAGCGAGAGAGCCUAGAGGCCCACGGAGGCCCUAGAGACCGCGACUCCUUCAUAGUUUGAUUGUUUCACGUUGAUUGUUAAAUAAAUG